Molecule: non-coding RNA, 297 nt
Organism: Pelobates cultripes (western spadefoot toad)
Lineage: Eukaryota; Metazoa; Chordata; Amphibia; Anura; Pelobatidae
Source: the annotation of a GenBank genome assembly
UUUUUAUGACUCUAUUGCACUGUAUCAUACAGUUUAACUAGUUGGAACAUUCUCAGUUAUUCACAUAUUUUAGUGUCAUUACUAAUUUCAGGUCAGCUUAGUCUUAAAAUGCUGUCUUCCAUUAUUCUUACUCUUUCUAGUUCUUCUGUAGCUUUGUCCACUGUACUCAUAGUGAAAUGACUAACAAAUCGACAAAGAAGGUAAAACAGCAAUCCCAUUUUCUUCAAAUUAUGGAAUGAAAUGAACUCUAUUUAAGCUUGUAAUCAUUUUAACAUGAAACACCUUCAUGGGGGUGGG